RNAcentral lists this transfer RNA (93 nucleotides) under Bacillota bacterium. Its description in RNAcentral is "tRNA-Ser". It matches the Rfam family "tRNA". Rfam says of the family: Transfer RNA (tRNA) molecules are approximately 80 nucleotides in length. Their secondary structure includes four short double-helical elements and three loops (D, anti-codon, and T loops). Lineage: Bacteria; Bacillati; Bacillota. The record is from RNAcentral.
GGAGAGAUGGCUGAGCUGGUCUAAGGCGCACGAUUGGAAAUCGUGUGUACGGCACAAACCGUACCGAGGGUUCGAAUCCCUCUCUCUCCGCCA